This 198-nucleotide transfer RNA is filed under the name Marmota monax (woodchuck). RNAcentral describes it as "tRNA.Ala". Lineage: Eukaryota; Metazoa; Chordata; Mammalia; Rodentia; Sciuridae. The record is from RNAcentral.
GGGGUUGUAGCUCAGUUGGUAGAGUGCUUGCCUAGCACAUGUGAGCCACUGGAUUCGAUGCUCAGCACCUCAUAAAAAUAAAAUAAAGGUAUUGUGUCCAUCUACUAUAAAAAAAUAUUUGAGGGCUGGGACUGUGGCUCAGUGAUGAAUCGCUUGCCUAGCAUGUGUGAGGCACUGGGUUCAAUUCUCAGCACUGCA